GAUGAACGCUGGCGGCGUGCCUAAUACAUGCAAGUCGAGCGAACGGACGAGAAGCUUGCGUCUCUGAGGUUAGCGGCGGACGGGUGAGUAACACGUGGAUAACCUACCUAUAAUACUGGGAUAACUUCGGGAAACCGGAGCUAAUACCGGAUAAUAUGUUGAACCGCAUGGUUCAGAAGUGAAAGACGGUUUUGCUGUCACUUAUAGAUGGAUCCGCGCUGCAUUAGCUAGUUGGUAAGGUAACGGCUUACCAAGGCAACGAUGCCUAGCCGACCUGAGAGGGUGAUCGGCCACACUGGAACUGAGACACGGUCCAGACUCCUACGGGAGGCAGCAGUAGGGAAUCUUCCGCAAUGGGCGCAAGCCUGACGGAGCAACGCCGCGUGAGUGAUGAAGGUCUUCGGAUCGUAAAACUCUGUUAUUAGGGAAGAACAUAUGUGUAAGUAACUGUUCACGUCUUGACGGUACCUAAUCAGAAAGCCACGGCUAACUACGUG
Molecule: ribosomal RNA, 497 nt
Filed under: uncultured bacterium
Lineage: Bacteria
Description: partial 16S ribosomal RNA
Rfam family: Bacterial small subunit ribosomal RNA
Source: RNAcentral